RNAcentral lists this long non-coding RNA (1120 nucleotides) under Crocodylus porosus (Australian saltwater crocodile). Its description in RNAcentral is "lncRNA (ENSCPRG00005010205.1)". Lineage: Eukaryota; Metazoa; Chordata; Crocodylia; Crocodylidae. The record is from RNAcentral.
GGGGUUCACCCAGUCUCUCUUACUAAAAAGUGCUAAUUGUACCAUUAAUGCCUUCCACAGAACCUGUCCAGACACAGACUGAACUGAAUUUAAAAUAAUGAUGUGGCAAAGAAUGCAGCAUCAGCAGACAGUGUUCUUCUACAGAGUAAGGUGGUCUGGGUGGCUUAGAAAAAGAAUAAACUGCAAAGCAAGCACUGUCUUUUUGUACGAGGACAUCAGUAUAAAUAAGGGCAAAAUUCGACUUUUCAUAAGGGAGCUGCCAUGAGAGAAGGAAUUGUGUUUGCUGAGAUAUUCUGGGAAGCCAUUUGGAAAGGCAUGGAGAGAGCAGAAACAGGAGAACUAUUUGAGAGACGAGGGAUACCAAAGAGUUGUCAUUAAAUGUCAAGGAGUUUUUGCAGAAAAGACAGUGUCCAAAAAGGAUUUGUGAGGCAUCAAGCUCUGAACCCCAAUAGAAGGAUUGUGUCAUACAGCUCUGAAAAGUACCCACCGCUGAGGCUGAACAAAACAACCGUGUAUCCAGUGCACAAUAAGUUAAAGCAAGAAGUGGAAAACAAUAGUAAGCAGAAGCAAGGAAAAUAAACUAAAGCUUAUAGUGCACUACUUUUCUCCAUUUGUGCUACAACUUAUAAGAUUGUAUAACGUCACCCAACGCUCUCUUCCCAACAAGAUGCAAUUCUUGGGGUGCUACUGCUUUGUGAACAAAAUGUGAUCAUACCAGCCAUCGGCUGCUGAAGAUAAUAAUGCAUGUGGAGAAAUUGUGAACUCUACAAUUUCUAGGAAAAUUAUUUCACGUCCUUUGAAGUAUAAAGUUUUCUUUCAGAUAUACACAAAAACUUUACAAAUCCCAAAUUGUUAAUUGGGAGACUUAAAUAGAGACUUAAACAAGCAAUUUCAUAUUUAAAAAUAUGCUAUCAAUGUGCAACCUGUUUCUCCGUGAGUUAGGAUUUUCUGGUAGUGUAUAUAUGCCCCUCAUUAAUCAAAGUAAUUCUCAUCAGAAUAGAACAUUCCCAAAUGGUUACAGUGUUUCAGAUCAAAGCGGGCCUGCUGCUAAAACUUAGAUUUUAAAAAUUUGAAGGAACACAUUGAAGAAAUGAAUAAAUACAUAUCCACAGGGGUUACA